This 632-nucleotide ribosomal RNA is filed under the name Vibrio sp. Its description in RNAcentral is "bacterial SSU rRNA". It matches the Rfam family "Bacterial small subunit ribosomal RNA", at positions 56 to 669 of the family's 1533-position model. Lineage: Bacteria; Pseudomonadati; Pseudomonadota; Gammaproteobacteria; Vibrionales; Vibrionaceae. The record is from RNAcentral.
UGCAGUCGAGCGGAACGAGUUAACUGAACCUUCGGGGGACGUUAACGGCGUCGAGCGGCGGACGGGUGAGUAAUGCCUAGGAAAUUGCCCUGAUGUGGGGGAUAACCAUUGGAAACGAUGGCUAAUACCGCAUGAUGCCUACGGGCCAAAGAGGGGGACCUUCGGGCCUCUCGCGUCAGGAUAUGCCUAGGUGGGAUUAGCUAGUUGGUGAGGUAAGGGCUCACCAAGGCGACGAUCCCUAGCUGGUCUGAGAGGAUGAUCAGCCACACUGGAACUGAGACACGGUCCAGACUCCUACGGGAGGCAGCAGUGGGGAAUAUUGCACAAUGGGCGCAAGCCUGAUGCAGCCAUGCCGCGUGUGUGAAGAAGGCCUUCGGGUUGUAAAGCACUUUCAGUCGUGAGGAAGGUAGUGUAGUUAAUAGCUGCAUUAUUUGACGUUAGCGACAGAAGAAGCACCGGCUAACUCCGUGCCAGCAGCCGCGGUAAUACGGAGGGUGCGAGCGUUAAUCGGAAUUACUGGGCGUAAAGCGCAUGCAGGUGGUUUGUUAAGUCAGAUGUGAAAGCCCGGGGCUCAACCUCGGAAUAGCAUUUGAAACUGGCAGACUAGAGUACUGUAGAGGGGGGUAGAAUUU